RNAcentral lists this long non-coding RNA (333 nucleotides) under Elaeis guineensis (African oil palm). RNAcentral describes it as "long non-coding RNA (EGUI_LNC080984)". Lineage: Eukaryota; Viridiplantae; Streptophyta; Magnoliopsida; Arecales; Arecaceae. The record is from RNAcentral.
GAGCAGUCGGUGCGCCAUCGACCGACUCAUCGGCCGCCCUUCUUCCGGGCAAGGCGGCGCCCUUGCCCGACGACCCCUCGGACGGGACUUCGACGAGCACUAUCGACGCCGACAGUGCGAUGACGGGCUCCACCUCCGACCCGGUCGGUUCGCUUGACGGAGCUACGUGGGGCCUCUUGGGAGGCCGCGACGGCCUGGCCCCUUGUGCCGGCCUCUUUCGAACGGCGUACUGACGUACGUCGGCUGCCGUCAGUCUUGAUCUCGACGGCAUAUCUGCAAACAACGACAAACGGUCAGCACCAUAAAGAAAAGAUAAAAAGAAGAAAAAAGGGA